UCUGUGCCGCCCGCAGCGUAAACAAGGCGCUGGCGGCGAUGAGGAGGCCGCGGGCGUGUGGAGCGGGCCGGGGCGGCUGGGCUUGAGUUGCGUUGCCUUUUGGAGGCGUCCCCCCGCCGGACGGGGGUGGUUGAGGGUUGUCCCGCCAUGAACUUGGCCGGGCAGAGCGGUGACGCCGGCAGCGGCCAUCUGCUCUUCGCUAACUUCAACCAGGACAACACAUCCCUUGCAGUUGGCAGUAAAUCAGGCUACAAGUUCUUCUCUCUUUCUUCUGUGGACAAAUUAGAGCAGAUCUAUGAAUGCACUGACACUGAAGAUGUGUGCAUUGUGGAGAGGCUGUUCUCCAGCAGUCUGGUGGCCAUCGUCAGCCUUAAAGCUCCACGCAAGCUGAAGGUUUGUCACUUUAAGAAGGGGACAGAGAUUUGCAACUACAGUUACUCCAACACCAUCCUGGCUGUCAAACUCAAUAGGCAGAGGCUGAUAGUAUGUCUGGAAGAGUCUCUUUAUAUACACAAUAUACGAGACAUGAAGGUAUUGCAUACAAUCAGGGAGACGCCACCCAAUCCAGCAGGGUUGUGUGCUUUGUCAAUAAACAAUGACAACUGCUAUCUGGCCUAUCCAGGGAGUGCAACUAUUGGAGAAGUACAGGUCUUUGACACCAUCAAUCUGAGAGCUGCUAAUAUGAUCCCAGCUCAUGACAGUCCCUUGGCUGCUUUGGCUUUUGAUGCGAGCGGUUCGAAACUUGCCACUGCCUCAGAGAAGGGGACAGUGAUAAGAGUGUUUUCCAUUCCAGAGGGACAGAAACUGUUUGAAUUCCGGAGGGGAGUGAAGAGGUGUGUGAGCAUCUGCUCGUUGGCUUUCAGCAUGGAUGGCAUGUUUCUGUCUGCAUCCAGCAACACAGAGACAGUGCAUAUCUUCAAACUUGAGACUGUGAAAGAAAAACCUCAGGAAGAGCCUACAACCUGGACAGGUUACUUUGGAAAAGUACUGAUGGCCUCAACAAGCUAUCUGCCCUCUCAAGUAACAGAGAUGUUCAACCAGGGCAGAGCCUUUGCUACAGUCCGCCUGCCGUUCUGUGGGCACAAAAAUAUCUGUGCACUUGCCACAAUUCAGAAGAUCCCUCGUUUAUUGGUGGGAGCUGCUGAUGGGUAUCUCUACAUGUACAACCUAGACCCCCAAGAAGGAGGAGAGUGCACACUAAUGAAGCAGCACAAGCUCGAUGGCAGCAUGGAGCCGGCCAACGAGAUCCUGGAGUCUGCAUCCCACGACCGGCCGCUGGUGGCGCAGCCGUACAGCGCUGCUGGGACUAAAGGUACAUACGUGCCUUCCUCACCCACAAGGCAUGCUUAUCCGGAUGACCUGGGAGCUGUGGGUGGAGCUUGCCUGGAAGACGAAACCAACUCGCUCAGAUUGGAUGAAGACAGUGAGCAUCCCCCCAUGAUCCUCCGGACAGACUGAACUUUGACCUGUGAACUCACUCCUGAAGCAGAGAACACUGGCUUGAUGUUUCUUGAGGAAUCUCGUGUUAUGCUGCUAUGAACUUUGACAUGAGCUGGGAGAGAGGAUGACAGACUCUUACAGUUUUAAGUCGUAGCUGUAGUUCUAAUUCUAUACCAUUGGAAAAAAAAUAUAUGGUUUUCAAUUCAGUGGCUUUUAAUCUUGCUUAUCUAUUUUAGCUGUGUUUUUUGUUGUUUUUUUUCAUUGCCAAAACCUGCUGUUUGUGCAGCCCUCGGGGCCUACUAGCUUUGCAUGCGUUCAUGUGCCAAGCAAGCAUAGGAGGGGAGAGAGAGAGAAGCCACUUUAUAACAAACUCAAGUUUGUAUUUUUUUUAUAUAUGUAUAUAAUACUUAGCUUAUAUGAGGAAGGAGCAGAGAAGUGGUUUUGGAAGCUGAGACUAGUUCUGCACUGACAAAGGUCCAAAUGGUUUCCUGUGCAUGGGCUUGCAGGCAUACCUAGUGACUGACAUGCAAUCUUUCAAAUGCAAUGGCCUGGUUUUUUUGGUUUUUUUUUUUUUGUUGUUGUUUUUUUUUUUGUUUUUUUUGGGUUCUCCCUCCCCUUUCCUGGACCAUUUUGUUAAUUAAAAUUCCUUCUGAAUGUUGUGUGUUUGUGGGAGUGUUCUGUUGGUUGGGACUGAAAACUGGAAAUGUUUCCCUGCGUGAGGAUAUAGAAUCUAGGAAGUGCCUUUACAGGGAGGAAUAGAGUUGCUGCAGGAAGAAAGCUGGAAGGAAGGAGGAAUUGCUAGAGGCUUUGUGUACACCUCUGGUACUUGGGCAUCUGUAGCCCACGGUGGCUGAUGUUUGUUUUGGUUUGGUUUUUAGGGAUGCACUUUCUCUCCUGUAGGUUGUUCUGUUUCCUUGGCAGAGUAGCAAUAAUAACUUUUUUUUUUUAAUACCUUUAUUAAUUAUCCAAAGCAAUGAUUCUAUCAGACUAGAUGGAAGCUCCUGCAGGGUGUGGCAGCCCUAUUAUUUAAACAGCCUUAAGGUUUUCAGCUGGAAGGCAUAACUCUCAGUCCUUUCUUCUCUUCAGCUUGGGGCUGACUGCACUGCUCUGAUAGUGAAGGUUCGGGGCUAUUUUCCAGAUGCUGGUGUAAAUAGAAAUGAUUUUAAAAGGUUCAUUUUCUUCUGGGUUCUCUUCUGUUGGAUAACCAUGCUCUUGUUUUCAUUUCCCUUUCUGUCAGAGCACCUCCUGUGUUACUCCCCAAGGACUGGCUGUCUCUGGCAACUUUGGAAUAAAUCCUUUAACAGCCCUGACCCUGCCUGGGGCUGCCCAAGGCUGAGCAGUGCUGCAGUCUGUUUUUAGGGUUGUAAUGUGCCUUCUCUUAAGUGGAUAACAGUUAGUGAACAAACGAUUAGCAAAGCACUUGGUGAGUGUGACUUUCCUUUGCCAAAAUGAACCUGGUUUGCCUUCUGUGCAGCGAUGUGGGAUGCUUCCCUUGGCUCUGCUGCCUGUUUGCAAAGAAGUGAAAAUAGAGGUAGACAAGGAAACUGCAGAUCUUGAGGGCAGAACCCUGACUUCACUGUGUGUGUGAACUUCCUACCACUGCUGAAUGGUGACUGUUAGGUGCUGUUAGGAUUGGGUACCACUGAUAGGUCUGCUGUCAAGCAGUCGGUUGUGGCUGUUCUUCCCAGAGCUCUGUGGUGAGGUGGGCUUCCAUUCCAUUUCUGAACAAUGAUGCCUCCUGCCUAAGGGAGCUACCUGUAUCAGCAAGGCUGCUGUUAACCAUUCUUAUAAAACUUCUGGGAAGUAAGGGAUCAGGCUUGUGUAUUCUGAAAACCCUUGGCUGUCCUGAACAGUUGAUCAGUUUGUGGCAUCCUCUCCACGAUUCAGCACAUCCAAAGCAAGCUGCUGAGCCGUGCUGGAAUCUCACACGGUCUCCUAACUUUAAACUCUGGCUGACAACUAAAUUCCAUGAUCUGGAAUUACUUUCUUUUCUUUUUUUUUACUAGUGCUAUCAGCUUUUCUGUGAAGCACCUCACUGCAGAGUAAAACACAAGUCUUAAAUGUGAGCUUUGCUGGCAGACUGAACCCCAUGGGAGCUGUCAGAUGUCUGCUUGCUCCAGACUAAGGCUGGUGACAUUGCUGAUGAUGUACCUGGAGGCUUGGCACAGACUACAAACAGAGCUCAGCAGUCAGCACACAUGAGCAAGGCAGGUAUGCUAAGCACAAGUUUUAGAACUUCUGGGUUGUAGCAAAGGCCAUAUUACAUAGCAAGAUACUGCUAUCACCUCUAAUAUGUUUACUAUCCUUUACUGCCAAAAACUGAGGUACUUAUACAGAUGUUUAUCCUUUCUUAGUUUUUACACCUGGGUAUUUUGCAUUGGUGAGUUGGGAGAUCCUGUAUUCACUGUAGUUUUCUUCUGUGUGCUGCUGUGUCCUGUGCCACGGACUGACUGGUGACACUGUGAACCCUGUUUGCUUUGCUCCUAAUUGGAAGCCUGUUCAAGUUGUGGGGUUUUUUUCCUGUUUUAAUAAGGAAGGUCUCCUUAGAGAGCAAAAGUAGAAGUGUUCUGGGGUGAGUGAGCAACGUGGAGCUAGGAUGGAGCAGGAGGUGUGUGGUCCCAGCUGAUGGUGGUGUUCAAGUUCAUUAUAUGAGGAUGUAUUUAUUUCCUUGGAUAAACACAACUAAUCUCAUUUCCCUCAGUAACUGCCCUGCUGUAGUAUGCUGCCAAAGUUUCCAUCCCUUCAGGAUGGGGUUUCAUCCCAAUGACACGAGUGCAUACUUGGUUUUUUUCCUCCCUUUAAACAUACCAGAAAUGCUGUUUGCAGCUGAGUGUGGAGCUGAACUCUGCUGCUCCGUGGAUCAGGUGGUGCCAAGUGUUUCUAUUCUGAUGGUCCUACAGCCCCAGGUUCCCCAGGGCAGCCUGCAGGUGGCUGUGUGGCAACUGUACAGCCUCUCAUUUGGGGCUGACCUUCCUUGGAAGGACAGUGCUUGUUUUGUGUCAGUGAGCAUCUCUGGAUAUGGGCUGUACCUCUUGACCCUCAUCAAGUGUUAGGGACAGAAAUGGACAACAGAAACAACCAAAGCUGGGGGAGAGGGGAGGAGGGAAAUGCUUUUAAACUUGGAAUCUGAAACUCAGGUCUUAAAUUGCGGUGGGAUCUGAUCCCAGUGAGUACUGUAGGGAAAGAGCUGUUUCACUUGAUGUGCAAAUAGGCAGCAAGUGUGCACGCUUUGCUGCUGUCUCGACAGCUGUGUGUUUACCCUAUUUCAUCUUUCAUGUGCUGAGGCAGACAGCUUUUAUCUGCUCUGGACUCUUCUUAUGUCAGAGUUUCCAAAACACGAGAGAUAGAUACACAUCUAGCAGUUACAAGGCUGGGCCUGGCAGAGGAGCAGGAAGUGAGAAGUGCAAUGAGAUUAGCAAAGGCUGUGUGUUCAGAGGCUCUGUUCAGCAAGACCAGUUGUGUGAGUUCUCCCUCUGGCACCCCGGGUCCUGGAUUGGCCAACCCCACCUUCCACUGCCUUGAAAGUAAUGGGCGAGAAGUUGUCAUCCUGGCUUGCAAACAGCUGCAGCUGUGCUCGGUGCAGGUGUGCUGGUGCUGUUGCUGUAGCAGUUGUGUGCUGCCUUCCCCGCUGCCUUUGCAUGUGUCCAACUCGUUUCUCAGGAGUGGUGAGUUGUUCCCAAGCCUGCACCUCUCCGGGUUCCUAUGGGGCAUCAGCUCAACCCUUUCUCUACUUGGAUCUGUUUGCUUUUGCUUCUGCACCCCCCCAAAUGAAAAACCACACUGCACCCUGCAGUUCUCACCUGCUGUUCAAUAUCUCUGUUGAUAAGUGGAGAAAUCUGCCUGACAUUCCGCCUCCCCAGGUGUGUGGCUCUCACUGCUGGCCCAUCGCUCUUUGUAAUUUUAUAACUGCAUAAGCAAUUAAAUGUGUUGUGAUAAGUA
Molecule: RNA transcript, 5379 nt
Organism: Lagopus leucura (white-tailed ptarmigan)
Lineage: Eukaryota; Metazoa; Chordata; Aves; Galliformes; Phasianidae
Gene: WIPI2
Gene name: WD repeat domain, phosphoinositide interacting 2
Exons: 13
Source: RefSeq, a predicted model, not a curated record